Molecule: small nuclear RNA, 107 nt
Filed under: Dasypus novemcinctus (nine-banded armadillo)
Lineage: Eukaryota; Metazoa; Chordata; Mammalia; Cingulata; Dasypodidae
Source: RNAcentral
GUGCUCACUUUGGCAGCACAUACACUGAAACUGGAGCCAUACAGAGAAGAUUAGCAUGGCCCCUAAAUAAGGAUGACAUGCAAAUUCAUGAAGUGUUCAUAUUUUUU